UGCAAGGUGUCUUAUGGAUUUGAAGUGU
Molecule: non-coding RNA, 28 nt
Filed under: Mus musculus (house mouse)
Lineage: Eukaryota; Metazoa; Chordata; Mammalia; Rodentia; Muridae
Source: RNAcentral